UACAGAGGUCUCAAGCGUUGUUCGGAUUCAUUGGGCGUAAAGGGUGCGUAGGCGGCGCGGUAAGUCGGGUGUGAAAUCUUGGAGCUUAACUCCGAAACUGCAUUCGAUACUGCCGUGCUUGAGGACUGGAGAGGAGACUGGAAUUUACGGUGUAGCGGUGAAAUGCGUAGAUAUCGUAAGGAAGACCAGUGGCGAAGGCGGGUCUCUGGACCACAACUGACGCUGAGGCGCGAAAGCUAGGGGAGCAAACAGG
RNAcentral lists this ribosomal RNA (253 nucleotides) under uncultured bacterium. RNAcentral's name for it is "partial 16S ribosomal RNA". It matches the Rfam family "Bacterial small subunit ribosomal RNA", at positions 524 to 776 of the family's 1533-position model. The record is from RNAcentral.